This 344-nucleotide unclassified non-coding RNA is filed under the name soil metagenome. Its description in RNAcentral is "partial contains 5.8S ribosomal RNA, internal transcribed spacer 2, and large subunit ribosomal RNA". The stretch from base 1 to 120 matches the Rfam family "5.8S ribosomal RNA", at positions 35 to 154 of the family's 154-position model. The record is from RNAcentral.
GAUGAAGAACGUAGCGAAAUGCGAUACGUAAUGUGAAUUGCAGAAUUCAGUGAAUCAUCGAGUCUUUGAACGCACAUUGCGCCCUCUGGUAUUCCGGAGGGCAUGCCUGUCCGAGCGUCAUUGCUGCCCUCAAGCACGGCUUGUGUGUUGGGCUCCGUCCCCCGAUCCCGGGGGACGGGCCCGAAAGGCAGCGGCGGCACCGCGUCCGGUCCUCGAGCGUAUGGGGCUUUGUCACCCGCUCUGUAGGCCCGGCCGGCGCUUGCCGAUCAACCAAAUUUUUAUCCAGGUUGACCUCGGAUCAGGUAGGGAUACCCGCUGAACUUAAGCAUAUCAAUAGCGGAGGA